UACGUAGGGGGCAAGCGUUGUCCGGAUUUAUUGGGCGUAAAGAGCGUGUAGGCGGCCUGACAGGUCUGCUGUGAAAACUCGAGGCUCAACCUCGAGAUGUCGGCGGAAACCGUCUGGCUAGAGUCCGGAAGAGGAGAGUGGAAUUCCUGGUGUAACGGUGAAAUGCGCAGAUAUCAGGAAGAACACCUAUGGCGAAGGCAGCUCUCUGGGACGGUACUGACGCUGAGGAGCGAAAGCGUGGGGAGCGAACAGG
RNAcentral lists this ribosomal RNA (253 nucleotides) under uncultured bacterium. RNAcentral describes it as "partial 16S ribosomal RNA". It matches the Rfam family "Bacterial small subunit ribosomal RNA", at positions 524 to 776 of the family's 1533-position model. The record is from RNAcentral.